This 963-nucleotide ribosomal RNA is filed under the name Clostridioides difficile. Its description in RNAcentral is "partial 23S ribosomal RNA". It matches the Rfam family "Bacterial large subunit ribosomal RNA", at positions 384 to 1357 of the family's 2925-position model. The record is from RNAcentral. Lineage: Bacteria; Bacillati; Bacillota; Clostridia; Peptostreptococcales; Peptostreptococcaceae.
AACGAGAAGACUUUAGAUAUGAUCCAGAGUACCACGGGACACGUGAAACCCUGUGGGAAGCAGGAGGGACCACCCUCCAAGGCUAAAUACUACCUAGUGACCGAUAGCGUAUAGUACCGUGAGGGAAAGGUGAAAAGAACCCCGGGAGGGGAGUGAAAUAGAACCUGAAACCCUGCACUUACAAGCUGUGGAAGCACAUUUCUUGUGUGACCGCGUACUUUUUGUAGAACGGGCCAACGAGUUACGUUAAGUAGCAAGGUUAAGCACUUAAGGUGUGGAGCCGUAGCGAAAGCGAGUUUUAACUGAGCGUUCAGUUACUUGACGUAGACCCGAAACCGGGCGACCUACCCAUGAGCAGGAUGAAGCGAAAGUAAAAUUUCGUGGAGGUCCGAACCCACGAGCGUUGAAAAGCUCGGGGAUGACUUGUGGGUAGCGGUGAAAUUCCAAUCGAGCCCGGAGAUAGCUGGUUCUCCCCGAAAUAGCUUUAGGGCUAGCCUCAAGGUGAGAGAUACGGAGGUAGAGCACUGAAUGUCCUAGGGGGUAUUGCACCUACCGAAGACUAUCAAACUCCGAAUGCCGUCAUCUUAUACUUGGGAGUCAGACUGUGGGUGAUAAGAUUCAUAGUCGAAAGGGCAACAGCCCAGAUCGUCAGCUAAGGUCCCUAAAUGUAAGUUAAGUGGUAAAGGAUGUGGGAUUGCACAGACAACCAGGAUGUUGGCUUAGAAGCAGCCACUCAUUCAAAGAGUGCGUAAUAGCUCACUGGUCGAGUGAUCCUGCGCCGAAGAUUUCCGGGGCUAAAACUUACUACCGAAGCUACGGCAUCAGUAAUGAUGGGUAGGGGAGCUUCCCAUACGGGUUGAAGCAUGACCGUAAGGACAUGUGGACAGUAUGGGAGUGAGAAUGUUGGCAUGAGUAGCGAGAUGUGGGUGAGAAUCCCACAGGCCGUAAACCCAAGGUUUCCAG